CCUACGGGAGGCAGCAGUGAGGAAUAUUGGUCAAUGGACGAGAGUCUGAACCAGCCAAGUAGCGUGAAGGAUGACUGCCCUAUGGGUUGUAAACUUCUUUUAUAAAGGAAUAAAACGAGGCACGUGUGCCUUUUUGCAUGUACUUUAUGAAUAAGGAUCGGCUAACUCCGUGCCAGCAGCCGCGGUAAUACGGAGGAUCCGAGCGUUAACCGGAUUUAUUGGGUUUAAAGGGAGCGUAGAUGGGUUGUUAAGUCAGUUGUGAAAGUUUGCGGCUCAACCGUAAAAUUGCAAUUGAUACUGGCAGUCUAGAGUACAGUAGAGGUAGGCGGAAUUCGUGGUGUAGCGGUGAAAUGCUUAGAGAUCACGAAGAACCCCGAUGGCGAAGGCAGCUUACUAAACUGUGACUGACAUUGAUGCUCGAAAGUGUGGGUAUCAAACAGGAUUAGAUACCCCUGUAGUC
Molecule: ribosomal RNA, 460 nt
Filed under: uncultured bacterium
Lineage: Bacteria
Description: partial 16S ribosomal RNA
Rfam family: Bacterial small subunit ribosomal RNA
Source: RNAcentral